Long non-coding RNA from Eriocheir sinensis (Chinese mitten crab), 737 nucleotides. RefSeq lists it as uncharacterized. The record is from RefSeq and is a predicted model, not a curated record. The transcript has 4 exons. NCBI's taxonomy places the organism in Eukaryota, Metazoa, Arthropoda, Malacostraca, Decapoda, Varunidae.
GGGACGGUAAGGUAGGGUAAGGUAAGGUAAGGUACGGUAAGGUAAGGUAAAGUAAAGGAAUGCAAGACAAGGUACGGCAAGGAAAGGGAAGGGAAGAUGAAGUAAGGUAAGGUAAGGUAAGGUAAGGUAAGGGCAAGGCAAGGAAAGGUAAGGUAAAGUAAGGGAAGGAAAGUUAAGGUUAGGUUAGGUAAGCUAAGGUGAGGUAAGGUAAGGUUAGGUAAGGCAAGGUUAGGUAAGCUAAGGUGAGGUAAGGUAAGGUUAGGUAAGGCAAGGUUAGGUAAGCUAAGGUGAGGUAAGGUAAGGUUAGGUAAGGCAAGGUUAGGUAAGCUAAGGUGAGGUAAGGUAAGGUUAGGUAAGGCAAGGUAACGCAAAUUAAGGUACGAAGCUAAAAUGACACAGAGACAAAGAAAGAGCCAUUAAUUCCAGCAGGCAGCGUUCACUAUAGCAGCGCCGCGCCACCUGGAAGUGAAAACAGCCAUUAGCGAAGAGAGACGAAAGUUCCGCUGCUGAUUAGUCUCUACCUGGACUCAUUACCUGCCCUGCCACACCUCGCCCUCCCCCCCCCCCUCCCCACCUUUACCUUCCUGAGACGGCGUUUAAGGGGAGUACGCAUGCCUCCCCUACACCCUUCACCAUCUCUUCCCUACCCAUUCUCACUCUCCUUUCUUCCCUUUCCCUCCCCACCGACGUAUGAAGAGGAAAGGUUAGGUUAGGUUAGGUUAGGUUAGGUUAGGUUA